This 2264-nucleotide ribosomal RNA is filed under the name human gut metagenome. RNAcentral's name for it is "bacterial LSU rRNA". It matches the Rfam family "Bacterial large subunit ribosomal RNA", at positions 3 to 2290 of the family's 2925-position model. The record is from RNAcentral.
UCAAGCUACAAAGAGCUUACGGAGAAUGCCUUGGUACAUGGCGCCGAAGAAGGACGUGACAAGCUGCGAAAAGCUGCGGGGAGGAGCAAAUAUCCUGUGAUCCGCAGAUAUCCGAAUGAGGGAACUCUGCACAAGUAAUAUUGUGUAAUCCGUUACUGAAUCCAUAGGUAACGGAGGGGAACCCGGGGAACUGAAACAUCUAAGUACCCGGAGGAAAAGAAAAUAACAAUGAUUCCGAAAGUAGUGGCGAGCGAAAUCGGAGAAGCCCAAACCUUAGGUAGUAAUACUUAAGGGGUAAGGACCGCGAGAUAGCAUCGGGAAAGGUAGUUGAAUUAUCUGGAAAGGUAAGACAAAGAGGGUGAAAUCCCCGUAAACGAAAUCUUAAACGAGCGAGCGUAAUCCGGAGUACGUCGGGACACGAGAAAUCCUGACGGAAGAAAUGGGGACCAUCCCAAAAGGCUAAAUACGACCAUGUGACCGAUAGCGAAUAGUACCGUGAGGGAAAGGUGAAAAGAACCCCGGGAGGGGAGUGAAAUAGAACCUGAAACCGUAAGCUUACAAGCAGACAGAGCACAUUUUAGGUGUGAUGUCGUACUUUUUGUAGAACGGGCCGGCGAGUUACGAUGUGAUGCGAGGUUAAGUGUUAAAGACACGGAGCCGAAGCGAAAGCGAAUCUGAAAAGGGUGCAAAGUAUCAUGUCGUAGACCCGAAACCGAAUGACCUAACCAUGAGCAGGUUGAAGCAAUGGUAAAACGUUGUGGAGGACCGAACACACGCCUGUUGAAAUAGUCGGUGAUGACUUGUGGUUAGCGGAGAAAUUCCAAACGAAUUCGGAUAUAGCUGGUUCUCCUCGAAAUAGCUUUAGGGCUAGCCUCGUAUAUGAUCCUUGUCGGUAGAGCACUAACUGGCCUAGGGGGCUUCACAGCCUACCGAAGCUUAUUAAACUCCGAAUGGCAAGGAAUCGAGUACGGGAGUCAGACAGCGACAGCUAAGUGCCGUUGUCAAAAGGGAAACAGCCCAGAUCUACAGCUAAGGUCCCCAAGUGCAGGUUAAGUGGAAAAGGAUGUGACAAUGCAUAGACAACCAGGAUGUUGGCUCAGAAGCAGCCACGCAUUAAAAGAGUGCGUAAUAGCUCACUGGUCGAGUGAUGUUGCGCCGAAAAUUAACGGGGCUCAAACCUGCCACCGAAGCUUAGGAAUACGCGAUGCGUAUUGGUAGAGGAGCAAUGUAUAUGCGCAGAAGCCGUACCGGAAGGAGCGGUGGAGUAUAUAGAAGAGAGAAUGCCGGCAUAAGUAGCGAGAGCGGAGCGAGAAACUCCGCCGUCGAAAGUCUGAGGUUUUCCGGGGAAGGUUCGUCCGCCCGGAGUAAGUCGGGACCUAAGCGGAGGCCGAAAGGCGUACGUGAUGGACAGCGGGUUGAUAUUCCCGCACUACCGAGAGAGUAAAUGAAGCAGUGACACGGAAAGAUAGAAGAAGCGCGCAGAUGGAAAAGCGCGUCCAAGCAGUGAGGGAGGCUUGUAGUAAAGUACGCAAGUCAUAAUCCUGGGCUGUGACGGGGAGUGGACCAAGGAAACGAAGUCUUCGAAUCUACGCCGGCGAGAAAAGCUGCUAAAUAUUUCGAGGUACCCGUACCGCAAACCGACACAGGUAGACGAGAAGAAAAUUCUAAGACGAACGGGAGAACCCUUGUUAAGGAACUCGGCAAAAUGACCCCGUAACUUCGGGAGAAGGGGAGCCAUGGAGACAUGGCCGCAGUAAAGAGGCCCAAGCGACUGUUUAUCAAAAACACAGGUUUCUGCUAAGGCGUAAGCCAAGGUAUAGGAGCUGACUCCUGCCCAGUGCCGGAAGGUCAAGGGGAUCCGUCAACGCAAGUGAAGCGGUGAACUUAAGCCCCGGUGAACGGCGGCCGUAACUAUAACGGUCCUAAGGUAGCGAAAUUCCUUGUCGGGUAAGUUCCGACCCGCACGAAUGGAGUAACGAUUUGGGCACUGUCUCAACAGGGGGCCCGGCGAAAUUGUAGUAUACGUGAAGAUGCGUAUUAACCCGCGACUGGACGGAAAGACCCCGUAGAGCUUUACUGUAACUUGAUAUUGAAUCUCGGCAAUUGAUGCACAGAAUAGGUGGGAGGCUAAGAAGCAGACGUUUCGGCGUCUGUGGAGCCAACUUUGGGAUACCACUCUUCGAUUGCUGCGAUUCUAACCGAUACCGUUGAAGCACGGAUCGGGACAUUGUCAGGUGGGCAGUUUGACUGGGGCGGUCGCCUCC